AGAUUAAACUAAAGAGUUUGAUCCUGGCUCAGAUUGAACGCUGGCGGCAUGCCUUACACAUGCAAGUCGAACGGCAGCGCGGACUUCGGUCUGGCGGCGAGUGGCGAACGGGUGAGUAAUAUAUCGGAACGUACCCAGGAGUGGGGGAUAACGUAGCGAAAGUUACGCUAAUACCGCAUACGUCCCAAGGGAGAAAGUGGGGGAUCGCAAGACCUCAUGCUCAUGGAGCGGCCGAUAUCUGAUUAGCUAGUUGGUGGGGUAAAAGCCUACCAAGGCGACGAUCAGUAGCUGGUCUGAGAGGACGACCAGCCACACUGGAACUGAGACACGGUCCAGACUCCUACGGGAGGCAGCAGUGGGGAAUUUUGGACAAUGGGGGCAACCCUGAUCCAGCAAUGCCGCGUGAGUGAAGAAGGCCUUCGGGUUGUAAAGCUCUUUUGUCAGGGAAGAAAAGG
This 455-nucleotide ribosomal RNA is filed under the name Duganella callida. RNAcentral's name for it is "bacterial SSU rRNA". It matches the Rfam family "Bacterial small subunit ribosomal RNA", at positions 1 to 453 of the family's 1533-position model. Lineage: Bacteria; Pseudomonadati; Pseudomonadota; Betaproteobacteria; Burkholderiales; Oxalobacteraceae. The record is from RNAcentral.